GGACGAAAGUCUGACGGAGCAACGCCGCGUGAGUGAUGAAGGUUUUCGGAUCGUAAAGCUCUGUUGUUAGGGAAGAACAAGUGCGAGAGUAACUGCUCGCACCUUGACGGUACCUAACCAGAAAGCCACGGCUAACUACGUGCCAGCAGCCGCGGUAAUACGUAGGUGGCAAGCGUUGUCCGGAAUUAUUGGGCGUAAAGGGCUCGCAGGCGGUUUCUUAAGUCUGAUGUGAAAGCCCCCGGCUCAACCGGGGAGGGUCAUUGGAAACUGGGAAACUUGAGUGCAGAAGAGGAGAGUGGAAUUCCACGUGUAGCGGUGAAAUGCGUAGAGAUGUGGAGGAACACCAGUGGCGAAGGCGACUCUCUGGUCUGUAACUGACGCUGAGGAGCGAAAGCGUGGGGAGCGAACAGGAUUAGAUACCCUGGUAGUCCACGCCGUAAACGAUGAGUGCUAAGUGUUAGGGGGUUUCCGCCCCUUAGUGCUGCAGCUAACGCAUUAAGCACUCCGCCUGGGGAGUACGGUCGCAAGACUGAAACUCAAGGAAUUGACGGGGGCCCGCACAAGCGGUGGAGCAUGUGGUUUAAUUCGAAGCAAC
RNAcentral lists this ribosomal RNA (595 nucleotides) under Bacillus sp. CP6B1. Its description in RNAcentral is "bacterial SSU rRNA". It matches the Rfam family "Bacterial small subunit ribosomal RNA", at positions 373 to 960 of the family's 1533-position model. The record is from RNAcentral. Lineage: Bacteria; Bacillati; Bacillota; Bacilli; Caryophanales; Bacillaceae.